GACGAACGCUGGCGGCGUGCUUAACACAUGCAAGUCGAACGGAAAGGCCCUGCUUUUGUGGGGUGCUCGAGUGGCGAACGGGUGAGUAACACGUGAGUAACCUGCCCUUGACUUUGGGAUAACUUCAGGAAACUGGGGCUAAUACCGGAUAGGAGCUCCUCCGCCAGGUGGGGGGUGGGAAAGUUUCGGCGGUUGGGGAUGGACUCGCGGCUUAUCAGCUUGUUGGUGGGGUAGUGGCUUACCAAGGCUUUGACGGGUAGCCGGCCUGAGAGGGUGACCGGCCACAUUGGGACUGAGAUACGGCCCAGACUCCUACGGGAGGCAGCAGUGGGGAAUAUUGCACAAUGGGCGGAAGCCUGAUGCAGCAACGCCGCGUGCGGGAUGACGGCCUUCGGGUUGUAAACCGCUUUCGCCUGUGACGAAGCGUGAGUGACGGUAAUGGGUAAAGAAGCACCGGCUAACUACGUG
RNAcentral lists this ribosomal RNA (468 nucleotides) under uncultured bacterium. Its description in RNAcentral is "partial 16S ribosomal RNA". It matches the Rfam family "Bacterial small subunit ribosomal RNA", at positions 28 to 507 of the family's 1533-position model. The record is from RNAcentral.